RNAcentral lists this ribosomal RNA (465 nucleotides) under uncultured bacterium. Its description in RNAcentral is "partial 16S ribosomal RNA". It matches the Rfam family "Bacterial small subunit ribosomal RNA", at positions 338 to 795 of the family's 1533-position model. The record is from RNAcentral.
UCUACGGGUGGCAGCAGUAGGGAAUCUUCCACAAUGGGCGCAAGCCUGAUGGAGCAACACCGCGUGAGUGAAGAAGGGUUUCGGCUCGUAAAGCUCUGUUGUUGGAGAAGAACGUGCGUGAGAGUAACUGUUCACGCAGUGACGGUAUCCAACCAGAAAGUCACGGCUAACUACGUGCCAGCAGCCGCGGUAAUACGUAGGUGGCAAGCGUUAUCCGGAUUUAUUGGGCGUAAAGCGAGCGCAGGCGGUUGCUUAGGUCUGAUGUGAAAGCCUUCGGAUUAACCGAAGAAGUGCAUCGGAAACGGGGCAACUUGAGUGCAGAAGAGGACAGUGGAACUCCAUGUGUAGCGGUGGAAUGCGUAGAUAUAUGGAAGAACACCAGUGGCGAAGGCGGCUUACUGGACUGUAACUGACGUUGAGGCUCGAAAGCGUGGGGAGCAAACAGGAUUAGAUACCCCUGUAGUC